CCUACGGGAGGCAGCAGUGGGGAAUAUUGCACAAUGGGGGGAACCCUGAUGCAGCGACGCCGCGUGGGUGAAGGAGUACUUCGGUACGUAAAGCUCUAUCAGCAGGAAAGAAAAUGACGGUACCUGACUAAGAAGCCCCGGCUAACUACGUGCCAGCAGCCGCGGUAAUACGUAGGGGGCAAGCGUUAUCCGGAUUUACUGGGGGUUAAGGGAGCGUAGACGGCAGUGCAAGUCCGGAGUGAAUGCCCGGGGCUCAACCCUGGGACUGCUCUGGAAACUGCAAAGCUGGAGAGCGGGAGGGGUAGGCGGAAUGCCUGGUGUAGCGGUGAAAUGCGUAGAGAUCAGGAGGAACACCGGCGGCGAAGGCGGCCUACUGGACCGUAAAUGACGUUGAGGCACGAAAGCGUGGGGUGCAAACAGGAUUAGAUACCCGGGUAGUC
This 440-nucleotide ribosomal RNA is filed under the name uncultured bacterium. RNAcentral describes it as "partial 16S ribosomal RNA". It matches the Rfam family "Bacterial small subunit ribosomal RNA", at positions 338 to 795 of the family's 1533-position model. The record is from RNAcentral.